CUGGACUAAACACUUACAUAGAAAAGGCAUAUAUUAAGUAAUGUGAUUGAAUGAUGAUGGAUCACUCUGACAUUGGUGUUUAGUCUCAGAUGAGGUCCCCUCCUUUCCUCCAUCCUGUAGAAAUGUGGCCUGGUCCUGAGCUGGAAGAGGGUCCAAGGGGCUUCUGGGAAACUGCAAGGUAAAAACAAAACAGCGUUUGGUUUCUGUGAGUACAAGGAGCCAGAGUCCACCCUGCGUUCCCUGCGUCUGCUACAUGAGCUGUUGCUGGGAGACAAGAAGCUGCUGGUCAAGGUGGAUGCUAAGACCAAGGCCCAGCUUGAAGAAUGGAAGGCUAGGAAGAGGAACGCCAACGGGGGAGCCAUGUCAGAGGACGGGCUCAAGGAAGAGGAAGAGGAGGAGGAGGAGGAGGAUCUUGAUGAGGACACAAAGCGCCGUGACCAGAUAGUGAAGGGGGCCAUCGAGGGGUUGAUCCGGGAGUACGGCAGUGAGCUCAACGCCCCUUCGCAGGACGGAGACAACCAGCCCCGCAAGAAGAAGAGAGAGAAGAAAGAGGAGGUAGUAGCGUCCGUUCCACUGGAGAG
Oncorhynchus gorbuscha (pink salmon) is the source of this 581-nucleotide long non-coding RNA. RefSeq lists it as uncharacterized. NCBI's taxonomy places the organism in Eukaryota, Metazoa, Chordata, Actinopteri, Salmoniformes, Salmonidae. The record is from RefSeq and is a predicted model, not a curated record. The transcript is spliced from 3 exons.